UACACUCCUACGGGAGGCAGCAGUGGGGAAUAUUGGACAAUGGGCGCAAGCCUGAUCCAGCCAUGCCGCGUGAGUGAUGAAGGCCCUAGUGUUGUAAAGCUCUUUCACCGGUGAAGAUAAUGACGGUAACCGGAGAAGAAGCCCCGGCUAACUUCGUGCCAGCAGCCGCGGUAAUACGAAGGGGGCUAGCGUUGUUCGGAUUUACUGGGCGUAAAGCGCACGUAGGCGGACUAUUAAGUCAGGGGUGAAAUCCCGGGGCUCAACCCCGGAACUGCCUUUGAUACUGGUAGUCUUGAGUUCGAGAGAGGUGAGUGGAAUUCCGAGUGUAGAGGUGAAAUUCGUAGAUAUUCGGAGGAACACCAGUGGCGAAGGCGGCUCACUGGCUCGAUACUGACGCUGAGGUGCGAAAGCGUGGGGAGCAAACAGGAUUAGAUACCCUUGUAGUCCCAUGAU
RNAcentral lists this ribosomal RNA (453 nucleotides) under uncultured organism. RNAcentral's name for it is "partial 16S ribosomal RNA". It matches the Rfam family "Bacterial small subunit ribosomal RNA", at positions 332 to 801 of the family's 1533-position model. The record is from RNAcentral.